Small nuclear RNA from Aotus nancymaae (Ma's night monkey), 103 nucleotides. The record is from Ensembl. Lineage: Eukaryota; Metazoa; Chordata; Mammalia; Primates; Aotidae.
GUACUCAUCUCAGCAGCGCACAUACUAAAACUGGAACAACACAGAGGUCAGCAUAGACCCGUGCACAGAUGACACACAAAUUCAUGAAGUGUUCCACAUAUGU